AAAAAUGAUGAAUGACAAUUGCGUGAACAAUCUCUGAAAGGUAUACCUUUGGUAUGUCAUUGAUUAUAAACACUUGUUGCCUUCCUUCUGAUA
RNAcentral lists this small nucleolar RNA (93 nucleotides) under Eremothecium cymbalariae DBVPG#7215. RNAcentral's name for it is "Small nucleolar RNA snR52". It matches the Rfam family "Small nucleolar RNA snR52". The record is from Rfam by way of RNAcentral. Lineage: Eukaryota; Fungi; Ascomycota; Saccharomycetes; Saccharomycetales; Saccharomycetaceae.